This 253-nucleotide ribosomal RNA is filed under the name uncultured bacterium. RNAcentral's name for it is "partial 16S ribosomal RNA". It matches the Rfam family "Bacterial small subunit ribosomal RNA", at positions 524 to 776 of the family's 1533-position model. The record is from RNAcentral.
UACGUAGGGUGCGAGCGUUAAUCGGAAUUACUGGGCGUAAAGCGCGCGUAGGCGGAAGCGUAAGUGUGGCCUGAAAGCCCCCGGCUCAACCGGGGAGGGUGGCUGCAAACUGCGCUUCUUGAGGGCGAUAGAGGAGUGUGGAAUUCCUGGUGUAGCGGUGAAAUGCGUAGAGAUCAGGAGGAACACCCGUGGCGAAGGCGGCGUUCUGGACUGUUACUGACGCUGAGGAGCGAAAGCGUGGGGAGCGAACAGG